GACAACCAGCCUUGCUCACGAAGCGUCAGCCGUAUCCUUUCUGUGUGCAGUGGGGUGUGGGUUGUGUGGAGCCGCGGUGUCUGUGGAAUUCACAGGCUGGGGCCGGAAUCCAUGGCCCCCGUCGCCGCUGCCACCCCCCAGGUGCUGGGGUGACCUGAUCCAGGGUUGGGGUCUAAGCUGCUGGGGGGUUGGAGUCUUGGGCUCUGGCCCACGUCCGCCUCUGAUUGGUUCUACCACCUGAGCCGGUCACUGACCCUCCAUGGGCCUCAGCUUACCCUAUGAUCCAUUAUUUAUUCUUCUCCAUCUUGUUCUGUGUUCCUGGAAGCCAACCUUUAUAAGCUGCAGGAAAUGGAUUUCCUACUCUCCACCUUCUGAUUGGGCUUGACCAACGGGGAGCACUGGCAGAAGACAAGCAUGGGAGGAAAAAGAGAUCAGGGCUGGAGUGCAGUGGCGUGAUCUCGGCUAGCUACAACCUCCACCUCCCAGCCGCCUGCCUUGGCCUCCCAAAGUGCCGAGAUUGCAGCCUCUGCCUGGCCGCCACCCCGUCUGGGAAGUGAGGAGCGCCUCUGCCCGGCCGUGACCCCGUCUGGGAACUGAGGAGUGUCUCUGCCCGACCGCCACCCCAUCUGGGAGGUGAGGAGCGUCUCUGCCCGGCCGCCCCGUCUGAGAAGUGAGGAGCCCCUCCACCCGGCAGCCGCCCUGUCUGGGAAGUGAGGAGCCCCUCCGCCCGGCAGCCACCCCGUCUGCCAAGCCCAGCAUCCAAUUCAGUCGCCUUCAAGGAGUCUCUUCAGUCUAAUUUAUUCUAGAACAAUUCUUCAGGCUUCCCUUCUCUGGCCAAGAUUUUUGAAAAAUACAGGUCAAUGACUUUGUAGGUUGUCUUCAGUUUGGAUUUGUCUGCUGUGUCCUCAUGAUUUAUGCAUCUCUGGCAGGAAUACCACAGAAACGAUGCGACAUUCUUCUCAGUGUACCAUAUUAGGAGUCACACAAUGUCAACUUGUCCCAUUACUGCUGAUGUUAAUGUUUACCACUUGGCUAAGAUGAUGUCUGCCAGGUUUCUCCACUGGAAAGUUAACAGUAUUUAGUACGUGUUAAGUGAUGAGUAAUGAAUAAAUAUUUCAUAGGGA
This 1124-nucleotide long non-coding RNA is filed under the name Homo sapiens (human). RNAcentral's name for it is "uncharacterized LOC130932201, transcript variant 8 (LOC130932201)". The record is from RNAcentral. Lineage: Eukaryota; Metazoa; Chordata; Mammalia; Primates; Hominidae.